Molecule: unclassified non-coding RNA, 263 nt
Filed under: uncultured fungus
Lineage: Eukaryota; Fungi
Description: partial contains small subunit ribosomal RNA, internal transcribed spacer 1, and 5.8S ribosomal RNA
Rfam family: Eukaryotic small subunit ribosomal RNA (bases 1-73)
Source: RNAcentral
ACAAACUUGGUCAUUUAGAGGAAGUAAAAGUCGUAACAAGGUCUCCGUAGGUGAACCUGCGGAGGGAUCAUUACUGAAUAUGGCCAACCCCGUUGGCCGCUCAGCACCUCAAAACCCGUGAAAAAAAUGACAGUGCUUCGGCGCUCCGGGCGCCGCUUGUUAAAUGCUGGGAAAUGACAUUCCGGUCUGAAUAUGAAAGAGAAAAACCAAAGAAAACUUUCAACAAAGGAUCUCUUGGCUCUUGCAUCGAUGAAGAACGCAGC